Molecule: ribosomal RNA, 800 nt
Filed under: uncultured bacterium
Lineage: Bacteria
Description: bacterial SSU rRNA
Rfam family: Bacterial small subunit ribosomal RNA
Source: RNAcentral
AGAGUUUGAUCCUGGCUCAGAACGAACGCUAGCGGCGUGCCUAACACAUGCAAGUCGUACGAGAAAUCCCGGGCAACUGGGAGAGUAAAGUGGCGCACGGGUGAGUAACGCGUGGGUAAUCUACCUUGGAGUUCGGAAUAACACUUCGAAAGGGGUGCUAAUACCGGAUAUCGUCCCAGGAGUUUCGGCUUCGGGGAUGAAAGAUGGCUGAGGCUUGCAAGCUAUUGCUCCAAGAUGAGCCCGCGUACCAUUAGCUUGUUGGUGGGGUAACGGCUCACCAAGGCAAUGAUGGUUAGCUGGUCUGAGAGGAUGGCCAGCCACACUGGAACUGAGACACGGUCCAGACUCCUACGGGAGGCAGCAGUGAGGAAUCUUGCGCAAUGGGGGCAACCCUGACGCAGCAACGCCGCGUGAGUGAUGAAGGCCUUCGGGUCGUAAAGCUCUGUCAGGCGGGAAGAAAGUUUUCAGGGUGAACAAUCCUGGAGAUUGACGGUACCGCCAGAGGAAGCACCGGCUAACUCCGUGCCAGCAGCCGCGGUAAUACGGAGGGUGCUAGCGUUGUUCGGAAUUAUUGGGCGUAAAGAGCGUGUAGGCGGCCUCGUAAGUCAGAUGUGAAAUCCCUUGGCUUAACCAAGGAAGAGCAUUUGAAACUGCCUGGCUUGAGUACGGGAGGGGGAAGCGGAAUUCCCGGUGUAGAGGUGAAAUUCGUAGAUAUCGGGAGGAACACCGGUGGCGAAGGCGGCUUCCUGGACCGAUACUGACGCUGAGACGCGAAAGCGUGGGGAGCAAACAGGAUUAGA